Molecule: ribosomal RNA, 475 nt
Filed under: Pasteurellaceae bacterium canine oral taxon 080
Lineage: Bacteria; Pseudomonadati; Pseudomonadota; Gammaproteobacteria; Pasteurellales; Pasteurellaceae
Description: bacterial SSU rRNA
Rfam family: Bacterial small subunit ribosomal RNA
Source: RNAcentral
GAGUUUGAUUAUGGCUCAGAUUGAACGCUGGCGGCAGGCUUAACACAUGCAAGUCGAACGGUAGCAGGAGAAAGCUUGCUUUCUUGCUGACGAGUGGCGGACGGGUGAGUAAUGCUUGGGAAUCUGGCUUAUGGAGGGGGAUAACUACUGGAAACGGUAGCUAAUACCGCGUAAUAUCGAGAGAUUAAAGACUGGGACCUACGGGCCAGUUGCCAUAAGAUGAGCCCAAGUGGGAUUAGGUAGUUGGUGGGGUAAAGGCCUACCAAGCCCGCGAUCUCUAGCUGGUCUGAGAGGAUGACCAGCCACACUGGAACUGAGACACGGUCCAGACUCCUACGGGAGGCAGCAGUGGGGAAUAUUGCACAAUGGGGGGAACCCUGAUGCAGCCAUGCCGCGUGAAUGAAGAAGGCCUUCGGGUUGUAAAGUUCUUUCGGUGGUGAGGAAGGUAUCAACUUUAAUAGAGUUGGUAAUUGAC